AUUGUCCCAGGUUCAGGUGUUUACGUAUCAUGAAGUGUGUGGCGCUCUGCUUGCCAGGCAUCUAGUGGGACUUCAAUGGCAAGGAUUUUGCUCCUUGGGGUGUUUGACAUUGAAACACUCAUCAAAAGUAAUUUGAGAGGAGGGGAAUCCAAUGUUUCAAAGGGGGGAGAUGGGGAGAAAAGAAGCGCCCUGGAUGAAAUAAAAGUGAAAGCUAUAAUGGAUGCUGUUAUGUCAAGACACUCAGUUUCGACUGGCCAGAUCGGAGCAGCCCUGAAUGGGAAGAUGGCAGAACUAAGACUGGCAAUGUCCAGGAAAAAUGUUCAUUAAAAAUGAGUGUUUCCCGAGUGAGUCUAAAAAAAUCUGAAGUUGAAAUUAAAGUUUUUACUUGAAAAGUUUGUGUACUGAACAAAAUGCAUUAAAGUUUGUAUUUGAAAAGACCUGGAAUUGUGUGUUCUGUGGAAUGAGUAUAAAUAUAUGUGCAGGAUAUAUAAAAAACAUAGUUGUACCACUAAUAUAAGUGAAAGUACAUGGUGUCAUCAUAUAGGAAGCAUAUUUGUAUCCCUAAUAUAAGUGAAAGUACAUGGUGUCAUCAUAUAAGAAGCAUAUUUGUAUCCCUAAUAUAAGUGAAAGUACAUGGUGUCAUCAUAUUAGAAGCAUAUUUGUAUCCCUAAUAUAAGUGAAAGUAUGUACUCUGGA
Carassius carassius (crucian carp) is the source of this 696-nucleotide long non-coding RNA. RefSeq lists it as uncharacterized. The record is from RefSeq and is a predicted model, not a curated record. The transcript has 3 exons. NCBI's taxonomy places the organism in Eukaryota, Metazoa, Chordata, Actinopteri, Cypriniformes, Cyprinidae.